GCGCCCGUAGCUCAGCUGGAUAGAGCACCAGACUACGAAUCUGGGGGUCAGGAGUUCGAAUCUCUUCGGGGAGCC
Molecule: transfer RNA, 75 nt
Filed under: Mesorhizobium neociceri
Lineage: Bacteria; Pseudomonadati; Pseudomonadota; Alphaproteobacteria; Hyphomicrobiales; Phyllobacteriaceae
Description: Mesorhizobium sp. CCANP35 tRNA-Arg
Rfam family: tRNA (bases 4-70)
About the family: Transfer RNA (tRNA) molecules are approximately 80 nucleotides in length. Their secondary structure includes four short double-helical elements and three loops (D, anti-codon, and T loops). Further hydrogen bonds mediate the characteristic L-shaped molecular structure. tRNAs have two regions of fundamental functional importance: the anti-codon, which is responsible for specific mRNA codon recognition, and the 3' end, to which the tRNAs corresponding amino acid is attached (by aminoacyl-tRNA synthetases). tRNAs cope with the degeneracy of the genetic code in two manners: having more than one tRNA (with a specific anti-codon) for a particular amino acid; and 'wobble' base-pairing, i.e. permitting non-standard base-pairing at the 3rd anti-codon position.
Source: RNAcentral